RNAcentral lists this unclassified non-coding RNA (329 nucleotides) under soil metagenome. RNAcentral describes it as "partial contains 5.8S ribosomal RNA, internal transcribed spacer 2, and large subunit ribosomal RNA". The stretch from base 1 to 120 matches the Rfam family "5.8S ribosomal RNA", at positions 35 to 154 of the family's 154-position model. The record is from RNAcentral.
GAUGAAGAACGUAGCGAAAUGCGAUAAGUAAUGUGAAUUGCAGAAUUCAGUGAAUCAUCGAGUCUUUGAACGCACAUUGCGCCCCUUGGUAUCCCGAGGGGCAUGCCUGUUCGAGCGUCAUUUCACCACUCAAGCCUGGCUUGGUGUUGGGCGACGUCCUCUUUGGGGACGCGCCUCGAAACGCUCGGCGGCGUGGCACCGGCUUUAAGCGUAGCAGAAUCUUUCGCUUUGGAAGUCGGGGCCCCGUCUGCCGGAAGACCUGCUCGCAAGGUUGACCUCGGAUCAGGCAGGGAUACCCGCUGAACUUAAGCAUAUCAAUAAGCGGAGGA